CUGAUUCCGCCAUUAUUGGGGGAGCAGAAAAGUCUAGUGUACUAGUGUGUUUAAUGCAGAAGAUAAUUAAAGAGUUUUUUUUUUUCCUACUAUCAUCUCAUCCAUCCACAUAAACACUUGGCCUGAUUUAGUUUCUUUGAAAGUUCUUGGCUUGUCCUCCUUAAAUUUUCGAUAUCUUUAAGGUAAGAUCAUCAAGCUUCCAUUUUUGAGAUCUGGGUUCCGACAAAGAUUCUUCUUUUUUUUUUCUUUGUCUCUACCCAUCUCUCAUUCCCCCUAUUAUCGGAUCCUGCUCGAAUCUUUUUACAGGUUUUAGCUCAAUGUAAAAGAAAGUUCAAAAAAGAUUCAAACUUUACCUUUCGAGCUUUCAAAUGGGGGAGACACAGAACCUACACUUACCUCUACGAACUCGGUCUUCUCUAAAGAAGCCCUUACUGAUCAUUCUAUUGAUCUGCAUCACAAGCGUGCUCUUAAUCUGCACUUACAUGUACCCACAGCACAGCGUUAAGAGCCCCGCUUGUGAGGGUUUGUCCAGCAGAGGCUGCCAAGCCGCGCUCUCCGGAUGGCUUGACGUUCACGUCAGGAAACACACAGACGAAGAAGUCGCUGCUCGUGUUGUGAUCAGAGACAUACUCAGAAUGCCUCCGGCUCUGACCUCUAGAUCGAAGAUAGCUUUCAUGUUCUUGUCUCCUGGUACUUUGCCAUUCGAGAAGCUCUGGGAUAAGUUUCUCCAGGGUCAAGAAGGGAGGUUCUCGAUUUACAUACAUCCCUCGAGGUUAAGACCAGUUCACAUCAGCCGUCACUUUACGGACCGUGAGAUUCACAGCGACCAUGUCACGUGGGGAAGGAUCUCUAUGGUUGAUGCUGAGAGGCGGCUUCUGGCAAACGCUCUUGAAGAUCCUGAUAACCAACACUUUGUUCUUCUUUCUGAGAGCUGCAUACCGUUGCAUACGUUUGACUACACCUAUCGAUAUUUGAUCCACGGAAAUGUCAGCUUCAUUGACAGUUUUGAGGAUCCUGGUCCGCAUGGGACUGGUAGACACAUGGAUCACAUGUUACCUGAAAUCCCCAGGCAAGAUUUCAGAAAGGGUGCUCAGUGGUUCACAAUGAAGCGUCAACACGCUUUGAUAGUGAUGGCUGAUAAUCUCUACUACUCAAAAUUCCGCCAAUAUUGCAGACCUGGGGUAGAAGCAAAUAAGAACUGCAUUGCGGAUGAACAUUACCUGCCUACAUUCUUCCAUAUGCUUGAUCCUGGAGGAAUCUCGAACUGGUCAGUCACGUAUGUUGAUUGGUCUGAGCGUAGAUGGCAUCCAAAGACAUACAGAGCUCGCGAUAUCUCACUCAAGUUCCUGAAAAAUAUCACGUCCGACGACAUGAGCGUGCACGUGACAAGCGUUGGCAAGCGUGGAGAUGAGCUGCAUUGGCCUUGUACAUGGAAUGGAAUUAGACGUCCAUGUUACCUAUUCGCGAGGAAGUUCCACUCAGAUUCUGUUAACAAACUGGUCAGACUCUUCCCAAACUACACCAGCACAGUGGUCUGAGAGAGAGAGAUAGAGAACCACCAGACACAAAUUCUUGCAACUGGAACGAAACACUUCCAGAUUAUCUUGAGACUGCAUUGGAUUGAAUCGCAUAUUACUGUAAAUUUUCUGAAGAAAAAUGCUUCUGGUACUUGAUGUCUAUUUAAUGGGACAAGGCUACUCUACUUUUUAAGCUGUAGCAGUAGUAUAAGAAAGAACUUAGAAGCAGAAAUUUUUGGUUAUUGUUUUUUUUUUACUCAUGGUUUGGUUAAGAGUGGACCGGUUUAUGAUGAUGUUGUAAUUUGAGCUGUUUGUAGUUUAGGCAGCACAAGGAGUUGAGAACUUUUACUAUAAAUAUGAUAUUUUUGCUCUUGUUUUUGAUUAAAAA
This is an RNA transcript of Brassica napus (rape), 1905 nucleotides long. It is a transcript of the gene named glycosyltransferase BC10, with no coding region annotated. The transcript has 10 exons. Lineage: Eukaryota; Viridiplantae; Streptophyta; Magnoliopsida; Brassicales; Brassicaceae. The record is from RefSeq and is a predicted model, not a curated record.